RNAcentral lists this long non-coding RNA (1704 nucleotides) under Homo sapiens (human). RNAcentral describes it as "HSALNT0385605". The record is from RNAcentral. Lineage: Eukaryota; Metazoa; Chordata; Mammalia; Primates; Hominidae.
AUCAUUAUUACAUUUGAUUCUAUUCGAUGAUUCCAUUCGAUUCCAUUUGAUGAGGAUUCCAUUCGAGACCAUUUGAUGAUUGCAUUCAAUUCCAUUGGAUGAUUCCAAUAUUUUCCAUUACAUGAUGAUUCCAUUCGAUUCCAUUCAAUGAUGAUUCCAUCAGAAUCCAUUCGAUGAUGACUCCUUUUGCUUCCAUUCAAUGAUCAUUACAUUCGGUUAUAUUCGAUGAUGAUUCCUUUGCAUUCCAUUCGAUGAUGCUUCCAUUCGAUUCCAUUUGAUGAUGAUUCUUUUCGAUUCCAUUUGAUGAUGAUUCCAUUUGAUUCCAUUCGAUGGUGAUUCCAUUUGAUGAUUCCAUUCGAUUGUAUUCGAUGAUGAUUCCACUCGAUUCUAUUUGAUGAUGACUGCAUUCGAUUCUAUUUGAUGAUUCCAUUUGAUUCCAUUCGAUGAUGAUUCUGAUCAAUUGCAUUCGAUGAUCCAUUCGAUUCCAUUUGAUGGUUCCAUUUGAUUCCAUUUGAUAAUGAUUCCUUUCGAGUCCAUUCGAUGGUUCCAUUUGCAGAGAUUCGGUAAUUCCAUUUGAGUCCAAUCGAUGAUUCCAUUCGAGACCAUUCAAUCAUUCUUUUUGAGUCCUUUCGAUAAAGAUUCCAUUUUCGUCCAUUCAAUAAUUCCACUGGAGUCCAUUCGAUGAUUGCUUUUAAUUCCAUUCGAUGAUAUUCCAUUCGAGUCCAUUCGAUGAUUCCAUUCGUUGCUAUUAGAUGAUGAUUCCAUUCAUGACCAUUUGGUGAUUCCAUUCGAUUUCAUUCGUUGAUGAUUCCAUUCGAGUCCAUUCCAUGAUUCCAUUCAAGUCCAUUUGAUGAUUUCUUUGAAUUCAAUUCGAUGAUGAUUCCAUUCGAGUCCAUUCGAUGAUUCCAUUCAGUUCCAUUCGAUGAUGAUUCCAUUCGUGUCCAUAUGAUGAUUCCAUUUGAUUUCAUUCGAUGAUGAUUCCAUUCGAUUCCAUUCGAUGAUUCCAUUCUAUUCCAUUUGAUGAUGAUUGCAUUCGAGUCCAUUCGAAGAUUCCAUUCGAGUCCAUUUAAUGAUUCCAUUGGGUUCAAUUCAAUGAUGAUUACAUUGGAUUCCGUUCUAUGAUUCCAUUCCAUUCCGUUCAUUGACAAUUUGAUUCCAUUCGAUGAUGAUUCCAUUUGAGUUCAUUCGAUGAUUCUAUUCGAUUCUCUUCGAUGGUGAUUCCAUUCUAUUACAUUGGAUGAUUCCAUUCGAUUCCAUUUGAUGUUGAUUCAAUUCGAUUCUAUUCGAUGAUGAUUCCAUUGGAUUUCAUUUGAUGAUUCUAUUCGAUUCCAUUCAAUGAUGAUUCACUUCUCGUCCAUUGGAUGAUUCCAUUUCAUUCCAUUCGAUGAUGAUUCCAUUCGAUUCCAUUCGAUGAUUCCAUUUGAUUCCAUUCGACGGUGAGCAAUUCGAUUCAAUUCCAUGAUGAUUCUAUUUGAUUCAAUUAGAUGAUGUUUCCAUUCGAAUCCAUUCCAUGAUUAUUCCAUUGGAAUCCAUUCGGCGAUGAUUCCAUAUGAGUCAAUUCAAUGAUGAUUCCAUAUGGCUCCGUUCGAUGAUAAUUCCAUUUGAUUUCAUUCGAUGCUUCUAUUCUAUUCCAGUCGAUGAUGAUUCCGUUGGAGUCCAUACGAUGAUUCCAUUUGAUUUCAUUUGAUGAUGAUUCCAUUCGAU